GGGUUUUGGUUUUUCGUUCAAAAGUUUGUUGAGAAUACCAUAGUGUUGUGGGGUAAGAGGUGAAGCUUUGGCCAGAAGAAAGUGAGGGAUUGGAACCUUAUUGGUGACUCGAGCGUUCCAAUAGCGAAUGAGAGAGGCUUUGGGGCUGAAUGGGUUUAUGCGCUCGCGUGUUUGAAGCAGAGGUGUGUAAUUACUUGCCAGAGAAACCUGCAUUUGUGGAACAAAAGUUACAGAACAUGGAAACAAAACAAAACAGAGCAAUGCAAUGCAAUGCAAUGUGAUGAGAGCGACAAGAAGAAGCAGAAGAAGAAGUGGAUGAUCAUUUUGAAGGUGUGAGAGCGUGUUGCGUGGGGAGUGGAGAGAAACUAGACAGUGAUAUAGAAGAAGAAAAAUAGAGGGGCCAUUGAUCGCUUGGAGCCGGGGGACAAUAAAUUUGUGGUCUCCCCAGACACAGUUUGCUUUUCUCUGCGCGAACAUGGUAUCAAUGACUAGGUUGUGGAAGAUAAAGGCCGACUCUAGAAAGUGUUUGUCCUUGACUUUUGUUAAUCGUCAUUGCAAAGCAUAACGAUAUCGGAAACUGUCUUCUUUGAAAUUUGAAAGGCAACCCAGAAUCAGAUGGCACUAAAUCCAUUCUUGGUAUAAAAAUCCUGUCACCAAUGUUUUUUCCAGUAAUUAUAGUUGCAUAGAUUACAUUCUUGCCUAAAUGGUUGACUUGCAAUCUUGUGCCAUUGCAUAGACCUUUCGCUUGAUCAAUGUUUCUCAAGAGCAUAAUUGGAACACUUGUUUUCAACUUCAGUUUAUGAUUUG
This is an RNA transcript of Vigna unguiculata (cowpea), 807 nucleotides long. RefSeq lists it as uncharacterized. The record is from RefSeq and is a predicted model, not a curated record. Lineage: Eukaryota; Viridiplantae; Streptophyta; Magnoliopsida; Fabales; Fabaceae.